UCCGCACACUAUUAAAGCUCAGGGUGGAGGCCAGCCUUGGCCAGUGACCUUCUGAGUGUCGGAAGUGUGCCAUAUGAAUUGCAGGGUUUUCGCUGACACCAGUAGAGCUUGCCUCUAUGACUGGAGUUUGAUAGUACUCACUGCCACAUUC
RNAcentral lists this small nucleolar RNA (151 nucleotides) under Suricata suricatta (meerkat). The record is from RNAcentral. Lineage: Eukaryota; Metazoa; Chordata; Mammalia; Carnivora; Herpestidae.